GGACAGAUGGCCGAGCUGGUAAGAAACAUUCCACGUAUUCAGCACACAACCUAAAAUUUCAUAGGUUAUGGCGCUAGGUUAAGGUACUUAACAAAAAUUUCCUAGUCACGAAAGUGGCGUGGGUUCGAGUCCCACUCUGUUCA
Non-coding RNA from Acephala macrosclerotiorum, 143 nucleotides. The record is from the annotation of a GenBank genome assembly. Lineage: Eukaryota; Fungi; Ascomycota; Leotiomycetes; Helotiales; Mollisiaceae.